UAAUUUAAUAAAAAUAUUGGCCUUGUAAGCCAACAAUGAAGGAAAGUCACCUUCCUAGGACA
This 62-nucleotide transfer RNA is filed under the name Dactylopsila trivirgata (striped possum). Its description in RNAcentral is "tRNA-Thr". It matches the Rfam family "tRNA". Rfam says of the family: Transfer RNA (tRNA) molecules are approximately 80 nucleotides in length. Their secondary structure includes four short double-helical elements and three loops (D, anti-codon, and T loops). Further hydrogen bonds mediate the characteristic L-shaped molecular structure. tRNAs have two regions of fundamental functional importance: the anti-codon, which is responsible for specific mRNA codon recognition, and the 3' end, to which the tRNAs corresponding amino acid is attached (by aminoacyl-tRNA synthetases). tRNAs cope with the degeneracy of the genetic code in two manners: having more than one tRNA (with a specific anti-codon) for a particular amino acid; and 'wobble' base-pairing, i.e. permitting non-standard base-pairing at the 3rd anti-codon position. The record is from RNAcentral. Lineage: Eukaryota; Metazoa; Chordata; Mammalia; Diprotodontia; Petauridae.